AGGACGAACGCUGGCGGCGUGCUUAACACAUGCAAGUCGAGCGGAAAGGCCCUUCGGGGUACUCGAGCGGCGAACGGGUGAGUAGCACGUGAGCAACCUGCCCUUAGCUCCGGGAUAGCUCCGGGAAACCGGAAUUAAUACCGGAUACGACCACGGCCGACAUCUGCUGUGGUGGAAAGGAUUCCGGCUAAGGAUGGGCUCGCGGCCUAUCAGCUAGUUGGUGGAGUAACGGCCCACCAAGGCGACGACGGGUA
Molecule: ribosomal RNA, 254 nt
Filed under: uncultured bacterium
Lineage: Bacteria
Description: partial small subunit ribosomal RNA
Rfam family: Bacterial small subunit ribosomal RNA
Source: RNAcentral